GAUGAACGCUGGCGGCGUGCCUAAUACAUGCAAGUCGAGCGAACAGAUGAGGAGCUUGCUCCUCUGACGUUAGCGGCGGACGGGUGAGUAACACGUGGAUAACCUACCUAUAAGACUGGGAUAACUUCGGGAAACCGGAGCUAAUACCGGAUAAUAUAUUGAACCGCACGGUUCAAUAGUGAAAGACGGUUUUGCUGUCACUUAUAGAUGGAUCCGCGCCGCAUUAGCUAGUUGGUAAGGUAACGGCUUACCAAGGCGACGAUGCGUAGCCGACCUGAGAGGGUGAUCGGCCACACUGGAACUGAGACACGGUCCAGACUCCUACGGGAGGCAGCAGUAGGGAAUCUUCCGCAAUGGGCGAAAGCCUGACGGAGCAACGCCGCGUGAGUGAUGAAGGUCUUCGGAUCGUAAAACUCUGUUAUUAGGGAAGAACAAAUGUGUAAGUAACUAUGCACGUCUUGACGGUACCUAAUCAGAAAGCCACGGCUAACUACGUG
This 497-nucleotide ribosomal RNA is filed under the name uncultured bacterium. Its description in RNAcentral is "partial 16S ribosomal RNA". It matches the Rfam family "Bacterial small subunit ribosomal RNA", at positions 28 to 507 of the family's 1533-position model. The record is from RNAcentral.